UACGUAGGGGGCUAGCGUUGUCCGGAAUCAUUGGGCGUAAAGCGCGUGUAGGCGGUUCGGUAAGUCCGCUGUGAAAGUCGGGGGCUCAACCCUCGGAUGCCGGUGGAUACUGUCGGGCUAGAGUGCGGAAGAGGCGAGUGGAAUUCCUGGUGUAGCGGUGAAAUGCGCAGAUAUCAGGAGGAACACCAAUUGCGAAGGCAGCUCGCUGGGACGUAACUGACGCUGAGACGCGAAAGCGUGGGGAGCAAACAGG
This 253-nucleotide ribosomal RNA is filed under the name uncultured bacterium. RNAcentral's name for it is "partial 16S ribosomal RNA". It matches the Rfam family "Bacterial small subunit ribosomal RNA", at positions 524 to 776 of the family's 1533-position model. The record is from RNAcentral.